GUGAAUACUUAACUAAAUAGGCAAACAGCUCCCAUUAAUGGCUAAGAUUGUAUAUCUUCCUACCCUUUAAAAUGGGGUCUUUGAGCCAGAUUUAAUUUAAUUUAGAAAAAUUAAGUACUGCUUAUUGGACUUCAAUGUUGUGAAACAAAUCUAUGCUUUUUAUGUAUAUUAUCCCACUUAAACUUUACCAUGCUUUGAAGUAGGUUUCUUUACCCUCUUUUAUAGAAGGGCACGAUCUGAAGGACAGAGAAGGUAAUAUAUAUUCAGAGUGCUAGAACAGAAGAGGGAGCCAGGGAUGGAGAGCCCCCUUACCCUGUGAGGGAUUCUUUGGAUGUAAAUGAUGGCAAGUACAAUUCAACUGACUUUAAAAACAGGAUCUGUUGCCUCAGGCACCUGAAAAAGUUCUGGGAGUAAGGCUGCCCUCAGGCAGGAGGAUUCAUACUGGGGCUCAGCUGAUGUCAUCAAGUUUCAGUUUCCAUCCAUUUCUCUGCUCUAGGUUCUGGACUGGCUACCUUGUAAGUCUGUCUGGCAAGUUCAUAGCUACAUCUUCCAAACUAAAAGCGCAGCUAAAAAUGGGUGGUUUCUCCCACUAGUCCCUUCAAAAGUCCCACUGUGCCUUAUUGUCUCCAGUUGGGUCACAUGCCCACCCCUGACCAAUCACUGUUGCCAAAAGCAUGGACCAAUCUUUUUGGCCAAGCCUGAGUUCAAUGUCCUCCUUUAAAGUAAGAGCGUUAGUGAUAAACAACUCCACUUGACAUGGACUGAAACUGACAACGGGGUUAGAUCCCCAGAGGGCAAAAGAAGGACUAUUUUUGGAAGGUGAGUGAAUGCUGAGUGUCAAAAUAAAAACAAAAACAAAACGGAUGUCUACUUCAGCCCUCUCUCUCACCACCCCAUUUCUGCCUUCUUGUCCAGAGUCAUGCCAUGCACUGAAGGUUAGAGUUAGAGGAAAUGCCAAUUCUGUGGAGGACAGGAAAGGAACUCAAAGUGGAAGGAAUCAAUCAGAGGCCCCAACAUCCAUGUGGAUAGACCAUCCAAUGAUCUGACCUCUCACUGUCUGCUCCUUCUCAUCUUAGAGUCCUUUACCUUCAUUCCAGUUCAGUUAUGGCCAUAGCCUAGAACUUAUCUCCAGCAACACUUGUGUGUUCUGAAAAAAUACAGUCUGACAUUCCACCCUUUAUCCUCUCAGCUUAUGCCCUCAGCAUGCUAAUUCCUCAACCUAUUCAGGAACUACAAGCCGCUCUAUACUUUCCCCUGCUCACCUGACCACCUUUGUCUUCAUUUCCUCCCUCUCCAAGGAAAACUUCAUGGGGCAUCACUUAAUGCUAAACCUAAAUAUACUGCUCUGCUCUAAACAGCCUACCCCCUUCUUUCAUUCGUCCUGUCUAGCAAAAUCCAACUCUGCCUGUUUUAGCACUGCCUUCAAAUAAGGGCCCUGCUUCCUCUUGGAUAAAAUCACACAAGUGUCUUUGUGCCCCAUAAACUUCUGUUCUACAUCUGUUGCUCAGCUCCACCACUGCCUCAGAAUCCAGUCAUUCCUCCUGUGUUACCAUGUGCCAGACGCUCUUCCAAGCACUUGGGACACCCAGUGGAGGCAACAAACAGAGGCCCUGUCUCGGGGGAGCUUCUGUGAUUGUUUUCUCAGUCAACUCUCUUGCCCAAGUUCUCAAAACAAUUCCACUUUCCUACACCUUGUCCACACUCCUCGCUCACUGAGCAUAUGUGCUGGACCACCAGAGGGAAACAGAGAAGUCAUCAGAUGGGAACUUUUCUGCAUAAAAACUUCAAAACAAAACAAAACCAAAACCAAAAUGAGACCCUCCAUCUCUUCUCUCCUCCUUCCUUCCCACCAUACUGAAAGGUUUCCCUCAAUGCUUUCCUUAAUCCUCCCAACCUGGGAUCUGCCCACCCUUUCCAAGUCGCAACACUUUCACAUGUGUGGGCUAUCUGCCUUAAUUAUCUACUUUUCCAGAGGACCAAGACUACAUUUACCUCAUCACAGCUGGAAACACCAAGCAGAGCUCAGAGUCCUCUGGAGGAAUACAUUGGCACUGGGAGGGAUCUACGGGGAGGUCCUGCCCAGCAUGCUCUGGGGCGGGGCCACGUCCGGGGGCAGGGCCUGAGAGACUCUGAGAGCCUGUUUGGCUUCUUGAGGGCGACGGCACCAGCAACGUGGCCAGACAUCUCACCUCAGGCUUCUGGAAGAUAUGAGUUGAGAUUUAACUCAAAGACAGGUUCUGAGGAAGGUUUCUGGAUGCCUGAGUGACCUUCCCCACUUCCCAGCCGGAAGGAUCCUUUCCUCCAUCUGAUAUUUCCAUUACGGUAUGCAGGCCCUCACAGCCCCUGGGCCCCCAAACUCUCACUCCAGGCCCAGCCUUAGAAGGCGCUCAGAGGCCUGGGGGCAGGGCUGCGCCUACCCAACACCACCCCCUUUGACGAUGGCACUCUGAGGAACUCCACCAAGAAUGAAUUUAUUUAGCACCUAACAUGUGCCAGACACUAUGCCAGGCUCUGGGAUACAAUGUGAUUUAAUGUGAAGAAUGCUUUGGAUGGGGUAAACAGGAUGUGAGAGACCAGUGAGAAGGCCACUGCAGUAAUCUACGAGAGAAAUGAUGUCAGCAUGGACCACAAUGGUGGUGGCCAAAGUGGAGUAACGUGGACGGAUCUGCAGAAGUCAUUUUCAGUUACUCUCUGACUCAAGUAAACACCGCUCCCUGUCACCUUAUCCCUUUGAGGGUUGGUUCACUUCUAACUUUUCACUGGGACAUGAUUCUCACCGACAGCAGAAAGUUCGGCACCCAGACCUGCAGAUGUGAAGACACUUGCUCCUCUCUCGAACUAUCAGUACUUCUGGGAAACACGUCCCAGUGCCAAACUGUCCUGGUCCUGAAAUGACCCCGUUAUUCGGGGAGGUAGUAAAGGAAAUUACAUGUUUUAAACCCCGAGUGGCACUCUCUUUGGACAUCGAAAGGUGUAAAUGAUAAAAAUACCUUGCUAGACUUAAAGACCAGGGAGUAAACGGGGGGCUGGAUGCUGCCCAGACUCUGUGUGUCAGCAAAACAUAUCUGAGCUCAGCGAAGUAACCCAGGACCAAGUGUUCUCCUCAGUGGAAUAAUUAGACAACAGAGGUGGGCAAUUUAGAAAAGAUCACUUCUUCUGUCCCUGCUUUAGAAUCUCUAAUACAAACAAAACCCAAUCCUUAGCAAGAUUUAAGAGCACGGGACAAAGACUGCUAGAUGUUGAACUGCUGGGAGUGGAGCCCACGUUUUAUUUAUCUUUGUAUCCAAACACAUCCGCGGUGCCUGCCACGGGGCAGAUACUCAGUGAAUGUUGGGUGGAUCAAGGAUUCCUCUGUGUUUUCAUGGGGUAUUUAUAUGGUAUGGGAAUUCAGUCAUCUUUUGCCCCACUAGGUACUGAUGGAUGCUUUCUGUUCUCCAUGUUUACUUUGAACACCAUU
Molecule: long non-coding RNA, 3457 nt
Organism: Equus caballus (horse)
Lineage: Eukaryota; Metazoa; Chordata; Mammalia; Perissodactyla; Equidae
Source: Ensembl